UACAGAGGGGGCAAGCGUUAUUCGGAAUUAUUGGGCGUAAAGGGCGCGUAGGCGGCAUCGCAAGUGGAAGGUGAAAUCCCUCGGCUUAACCGAGGAACUGCCCUCCAAACUGCUUGGCUUGAGUCCGGGAGAGGUGAGUGGAAUUCCCAGUGUAGCGGUGAAAUGCGUAGAUAUUGGGAAGAACACCGGUGGCGAAGGCGGCGACCUGGUCCUUGACUGACGCUGAGGCGCGAAAGCGUGGGGAGCAAACAGG
Molecule: ribosomal RNA, 253 nt
Filed under: uncultured bacterium
Lineage: Bacteria
Description: partial 16S ribosomal RNA
Rfam family: Bacterial small subunit ribosomal RNA
Source: RNAcentral